This 602-nucleotide ribosomal RNA is filed under the name Neolitsea phanerophlebia. RNAcentral's name for it is "eukaryotic LSU rRNA". The stretch from base 181 to 336 matches the Rfam family "5.8S ribosomal RNA". The record is from RNAcentral. Lineage: Eukaryota; Viridiplantae; Streptophyta; Magnoliopsida; Laurales; Lauraceae.
GGUCCCGCGACGACGCCGCUCGCGGCGCGCGGCCCGGGGGACGGCCCGGGGACGCGCGUCCCGACGAGCUCCGAACAACCCUCUGGGCGCGGCGAGCGCCAAGGAAUUAUCGAAGCGGAGGGGGCGGCCGCCCGGCCCGGUGCGGCGGGGACCGGCCGCCCGCCUGUGAAUCUYUUAGACGACUCUCGGCAACGGAUAUCUCGGCUCUCGCAUCGAUGAAGAACGUAGCGAAAUGCGAUACUUGGUGUGAAUUGCAGAAUCCCGUGAACCAUCGAGUCUUUGAACGCAAGUUGCGCCCGAGGCCACUCGGCCGAGGGCACGCCUGCCUGGGCGUCACGCCACCCAUCGCCCCCGCCCCCCACGCCCGGGGCGGGGAGCGGAGAAUGGCCGUCCGUGCCCGAGCCCUCGGCGCGCGGUCGGCGGAAAAAGGAGGACACCGUGCGGCGCGGCACGGCGUGUGGGGGUUGAGAGGCGAUCCGUCGCCGAUCGUACGCCGCGCCCGCAUUCCGCCGCGCGGAUCCACCCGCGGGACCAGACCCGCCCGCAGCCGCGGGCGCUCGGACCGCGACCCCAGGUCAGGCGUGGCCACCCGCUGAAUUUAA